This 596-nucleotide ribosomal RNA is filed under the name Escherichia coli. Its description in RNAcentral is "partial 23S ribosomal RNA". It matches the Rfam family "Bacterial large subunit ribosomal RNA", at positions 1273 to 1854 of the family's 2925-position model. Lineage: Bacteria; Pseudomonadati; Pseudomonadota; Gammaproteobacteria; Enterobacterales; Enterobacteriaceae. The record is from RNAcentral.
CUGGAGGUAUCAGAAGUGCGAAUGCUGACAUAAGUAACGAUAAAGCGGGUGAAAAGCCCGCUCGCCGGAAGACCAAGGGUUCCUGUCCAACGUUAAUCGGGGCAGGGUGAGUCGACCCCUAAGGCGAGGCCGAAAGGCGUAGUCGAUGGGAAACAGGUUAAUAUUCCUGUACUUGGUGUUACUGCGAAGGGGGGACGGAGAAGGCUAUGUUGGCCGGGCGACGGUUGUCCCGGUUUAAGCGUGUAGGCUGGUUUUCCAGGCAAAUCCGGAAAAUCAAGGCUGAGGCGUGAUGACGAGGCACUACGGUGCUGAAGCAACAAAUGCCCUGCUUCCAGGAAAAGCCUCUAAGCAUCAGGUAACAUCAAAUCGUACCCCAAACCGACACAGGUGGUCAGGUAGAGAAUACCAAGGCGCUUGAGAGAACUCGGGUGAAGGAACUAGGCAAAAUGGUGCCGUAACUUCGGGAGAAGGCACGCUGAUAUGUAGGUGAAGUCCCUCGCGGAUGGAGCUGAAAUCAGUCGAAGAUACCAGCUGGCUGCAACUGUUUAUUAAAAACACAGCACUGUGCAAACACGAAAGUGGACGUAUACGGUGUG